CAGGCACGCACACACAUAGGUAUAAACAAUAUUAGUCUUGCAUUUGCCUAUAAAAAUUAGUGAGAGUGCGAUUUGUUUGAACAAGAUGAGCUAUCUAAGCUGUUAUAAUAAGUUGGAAGAUGGGACAUUCAUUAUAUCUUCAAUGGAGAGAAUUGGUUCCAAUGAUUAAAUGUUGGCUUAAGGGGGAAAUAUUGGAAUGCAUCAUUGUAUAAUAAUCCUAAAGACUGAUAUAGAUUAUGAGAAAAAGUUGCCAGAUAUACACUGAUUUUGGGCAGCCUUUAAACUUGUGAGUUGUGAUCAUGGAAGUUUCAUGUAGAGAAUAUAAAAAUUGUGAUCAUGAUAGUGUUCACGUAGAGAGUAUACAAUUUGAGUUUGUGUGCUAACAACUUAAUCCAACAUGUGGUUGAGUGAAUCUUUCUGUGUGAAUUGUCAUAUAGCUCAUAUUUUACUUAGAAGUUUGCUUUAAGUACGUACAAAGAUCAGAAGUUUCCAAUAGUCUCAUCUGCCUUAUAAACAAGCUAGUUUCUUGUUUAGAGAAUUUUUGUUGAAUGCUUCAAAGAUUUAUGAUGACAUUGCUUGUAUAUAUAAUUUUGGUAUUUAAAAUUCACUAUUCUUUCUCAUCAAAAGAGAAAAGAGAAACUUAGUAAUCCUUGGCUGCAGGUGGACAUGGUUACUCCUAUGUGUUCUCAAUUAACUUAUGAAGGACUACUGGAUG
Molecule: unclassified non-coding RNA, 715 nt
Filed under: Hevea brasiliensis (rubber tree)
Lineage: Eukaryota; Viridiplantae; Streptophyta; Magnoliopsida; Malpighiales; Euphorbiaceae
Source: RNAcentral